Esox lucius (northern pike) is the source of this 1914-nucleotide long non-coding RNA. RefSeq lists it as uncharacterized. The record is from RefSeq and is a predicted model, not a curated record. The transcript is spliced from 2 exons. Lineage: Eukaryota; Metazoa; Chordata; Actinopteri; Esociformes; Esocidae.
GGAAUUACUGAAAUAAAUCAACUUUUUGAUGAUAUUCAAAUUUUAUGACCAACACCUGUGUAUCUGUCUGUUCAUCUGUUUGAUUUCUGACCUGUUUAAUUACGUGCUCUAGUUAUCCGCAUCAUAUUCAGAAAAAUAAACAGAUUGUAUAAUUACUACUGUAGCAGAUGUUGUUGAAGUGUGAAAUAAAACAUUUUGGAAAGUGUUGUUUUUCUAUUGUGUAGGGGCUGACAUAGCAGGGGCUUGAUAGGGAUUUUUGAGUGGAGCAGGUUUAUCCAGGACUGUGGGUCGGUGUUCUGUAGCAGACAGACAGGAGCAGAGGGAGGUCUAUCAGAUAACACAGGAGCAGAGGGAGGUCUAUCAGAUAACACAGGAGCAGAGGAAGGUCUAUAGCAGACAGCAACAGUGGGAGAAAGGUUUCUUGGAAGUGAAACUCUUUACAUGCAGCGGGAGUGAGAUGGGCCCAAUAGGUCAGACAGACAGAUGACAGAGAAGUCCAGAGGUCUUCACAUGUAGUCAUCCCAAAGAAGGUGAUUCAAUAGGUAAAUCAAUUGCUCUGAGGCAGGAUGUUGACAGCAGGAAGGUCUGAUCAAGAUCAGGGGAGGUAACUGUGUGGGGUCAUGUGUUUUUGCCUCUAGUCACCACAAGGGGGUGUGCACUGCUAUAGAACUGAAUAGCAUUGCCAAUAACAGGUGUUCAGGAUAGUUUCUAGCUAGGGGCUGUAGAAUUGAUUAACAUUGCCAAUAACAGGUGUUCAGGAUAGUUUCUAGCUAGGGGCUGUAGAAUUGAUUAACAUUGCCAAGAACAGGUGUUCAGAAUACAGUUUAGGGGCUGCUAUCAAUUGGUCCAAUUCCCACUUCCAUGCUCUGUCCUCGUCAUAACCUGUCCUCUGUCUUCCAUGCUCUGUCCUCGUCAUUACCUGUCCUCUGUCUUCCAUGCUCUGUCCUUGUCAUAACCUGUCCUCUGUCUUCCAUGCUCUGUCCUUGUCAUAACCUGUCCUCUGUCUUCCAUGCUCUGUCCUCAUCAUAACCUGUCCUCUGUCUUCCAUGCUCUGUCCUCGUCAUAACCUGUCCUCUGUCUUCCAUGCUCUGUCCUCGUCAUUACCUGUCCUCUGUCUUCCAUGCUCUGUCCUCGUCAUAACCUGUCCUCUGUCUUCCAUGCUCUGUCCUCGUCAUAACCUGUCCUCUGUCUUCCAUGCUCUGUCCUCGUCAUUACCUGUCCUCUGUCUUCCAUGCUCUGUCCUCGUCAUAACCUGUCCUCUGUCUUCCAUGCUCUGUCCUCGUCAUUACCUGUCCUCUGUCUUCCAUGCUCUGUCCUCGUCAUAACCUGUCCUCUGUCUUCCAUGCUCUGUCCUCGUCAUAACCUGUCCUCUGUCUUCCAUGGUCUGUCCUCGUCAUAAACUGUCCUCUGUCUUCCAUGCUCUGUCCUCGUCAUUACCUGUCCUCUGUCUUCCAUGCUCUGUCCUCGCCAUAACCUGUCCUCUGUCUUCUUUUCACCUUAACUUGGAAUUGGAUAAAAGUGGUUUAAGGGUUGAGUGUAUGACAAUGUAUUGUGGAUCCAAUGGAAGUUUUGAAAUGAUUGGUUCGUAUCAGUGUUCUGAUUGAAACGUCAUGCCUGUGACAUCACAGCUAAUCUUUUUUAUGAAGAGUCUGUGAAUAUUCAGGAGGGUCUUUCCAUCAGCAUCCAAUACAGUCAAUUGACGUCCCUUUAUUAAAUAUUCUAAACCUUAUUCUCAUAGCGAGAUGCAUCCACCAACAUGAAGACAGCCACACUGUAACCCGGCAACACGGUUGAGAAAUACUCAGUUCCGUUUGCUGCUGCCAAUGAAUGGAAUGAGUUGCAAAGACCCUUAAGCACGACACUCUUGUCUCACUCCUUCAAAAACGAAAAUAAACAAGCUGAUAUCUGACUGUA